ACAGGUCUGUCGGUCGAUAUCGACGAGCCCGACGAUUUUGACGCUUCGAUUUGAUGUUGCUGCUGCUGCUGUUGCUGUUGCUGUUGCUGAUUGCUCUUUAAGUCUAUAGAGAAAUAGUCGCAAUGUUGUGAAAAAUGUAACAUUUAACGGACCUGUAGAAGGAGAUGAUGUCGUCGAGGUGGUGGUUUCGUGAUCCCCCGCAGACGAUCUGGCGUUCGGCUCUGGGGUCUUUUUCGGCUUCCUCUUCCUCGUCUGUAUACCGUCCUUUCGCAUCGCCAGCGGCCUAUUGACCCCGUGCAAUUUGAAGUAUAACCCGCAGGCGUUGCACACCGGCUCGCCGUCGUUGUUGCGCCUCCACAACGUGGUAGUGCGGGUGCCGCAGUUGGUGCAGCACAGCCCGAGUCGCCUCGUCGCCGUCUGAAAUUCCGACAUCUGUCCCAUUUGUAACGCACUUGCUGAUGCUGCUCGAGGCGAGGGCGAAGUGGGGAAGGAGUGAUAUUGCGCCGCCGUGGACGGGAUCGCCGGCCUCGACGAAGGGACGUAGACGGGCGCCUGGAGUUGUUGGCCGUGCUGUUGCUGCUGUUGCUGCUGAGACUGUUGGUAAUCGGAACUUGCGCCGUACCCGCUACUUCCGCCCCCGUGGAACAUCCUCUCCCACCGAGAGCUACCACCGCGGCAUCUGCUGAAAACGGAAAAUGUCCAAGGCGGCGACGGCGCCAGAUCAACGCGGCGCCGUACUUUUCAUGGCCCUCGACGGAUCACACGGAAUUUAGAUGAGAGCUUGGACGGAGAGCUGCGACGAGAGUUAGAAGGGUCCGACGCCACCAGGUAUAUAUCGGUAAUGGACGCCGAUUAAAGGAACCAAAUAGAGGAUGGAAGAGACUCAAUAUGCGUAGUUGUCUACAGAUGUACGCAUAUACAUUGUCGGCGUCGCGAGUGGUCGCGCGAUCACGAGGAGCCUUAAUCCGACGACAUUCGUGGAAGGAACGAGCAUCCGACGAUUACGACGAAGUACUUUGGUACAUCGCGAGGGAAUGUUCUCUCGUCUCGAAGAGGACCGGCUGGUGCCGAGGCGCCACGGCGCCGACCCGCGUAGAAGGGUUUCCUUGUAGGCCCUACGCACACACUCUCGCACGCGCGCACACACACAGUCACGCGUAUCACGCGCACGUUGCGAUCGUUUCUUCCUUUUUUCUUCUCUCACAAUUCAGCGAGGUGACAGAGAGAGUGGCCCAGGGCUCUCUCUCGUCUCGCUUAUCUUACCUUCGUGAUAUCGUCGAAUUAUUUGUUACGUUGUGUUACACACGUGAACGAAUAUCGCGUUAACAAUGGCACACGCAACUCAAUCUAUUCUCAAUCUAUUCGUUUUUUGGGGAGUCCAACUUCUUUUCUCUAGCUCUCUCCCAAUAAGUUAGAAAAUGAUUGCUCGAAGAUUUUAUCUGUACUCUUACAACAAUUAUGCAUAAUAUAUAUAAACUGUUUUUAUGCUGAUUAGCGGGAGUCAUUAAUAUCGACAGUUCUUUCUAUCUCGUUGGCAAAUUGCGAUUAAAAUAAAAGUAUUUAGAGCACCGCCUUUGUUUGUCAACAAUAUCUGAUAUUUACAAUAUUCGCGCGAAUCUUAUUCUCGCACAGGUAUACGUGACAUAUAAAGAUGCGGGAAUCGCGUGACCCGAUCCCGUAAAUUUGACGCGCAAUAAAUAAAUGGGGUCUCCCUCUGAAAAGAGACUCCAGUCACGAUCUAUCGAUCGCCGAACCGGCAAAUCCUGCCUUAGAUGUCAUGAGAAAAUGAGCGCCGGAAGUUCAUGCUUGAGAGCUUAUUUUAAAAUUUUCGCGCAAGUAUCGGCGAAAGAAAAUAUGAAAUACAAGAAAAGGCGUUUUACUUCUUUCCGCGCGAUGUAUAUGCAAAUCUGUGUGUUAUGCGAGAACAUUUAUGGAAAUGCAGUGUGGGAAAAAAAAGGUUACUCACCGCGAUGCGGUCGAUCCGGCAGAUUUUUCUAUGACUGGCGCAUACCCCCGAAGACGAAGAGCGAUCUUUCGAUUACACGUGUGCGAGUCUCUUCGAUUCAAAAACCGCAGUCAAGGUGAUCUUGUCGCGUGUUUUCCGUGCGCUUCUCUUUGCCUCUUUCUCUUAGCCUUUCGAGAGAAAGAAGGAAGAGAAGGUCGGGCGACCAGAUUAAGCCAAUAAACUAAUUUGACAGGCGAUUCAUUCUGUGGCCAAAAACGACUAUUCCCCGCAAAUACACACGAUGUUACUCGGAAAAUAAAUCAGCCAUAAGUUAUUACAGCUGAUUGAAAUUAACGCAUUAAUCUUCUAGAGUCGUUGAA
This 2325-nucleotide long non-coding RNA is filed under the name Camponotus floridanus (Florida carpenter ant). RNAcentral describes it as "uncharacterized LOC105256357". The record is from RNAcentral. Lineage: Eukaryota; Metazoa; Arthropoda; Insecta; Hymenoptera; Formicidae.